Molecule: long non-coding RNA, 2464 nt
Filed under: Homo sapiens (human)
Lineage: Eukaryota; Metazoa; Chordata; Mammalia; Primates; Hominidae
Description: HSALNT0012294
Source: RNAcentral
CUAUAGAGCCCCAGGGGGAGUUUCCUCAGCCCUGGAAUUCAGGACACUUUCCUGCUUUUAUGAUACUGUCUUCACCCUCUGCAUACCAACCCCUCCCCAAUACAAAUUGGUGGCAAGUAGGUGGAGGAAGGAGGGUCCACUGGAGAACCCCCCCUUACCACCCAGCCCAGGAGCAAACAAUUUCUCCCCAGGGCUCAGAAGCUGCCUGUGAGCUUCUUGUUUGGGGCUCACACUGAGUUCCCCCUGUCCUUUAUUUGAGAUGAGUGACUCGUGACACCACAACUGCUGAAUCUACAGCCUCCAAAACCAUGCUGGGGUCCAAUCUCUAGCCCGGGCAGGAGGCAUUCUGCUGGUGCAUCUCAGUGUGCCCCCACGCUGUCCCGAUCCUGCCUGCAGAGACGGCCCCCAGUCUCCAAUUCAUUCCACCUCCCAGGACAAGCCUACAACAUCCUUUACUGACAUCUCCUUCAGGGAAACAAACAGCAAAACAAGCAGAACAUGCCCACCCCAGAUGGGGAGUUAUGAAGCCUGACACCCAUCCAAAGCUCCUGCAGCUAGAUGUGGCUCUUGGCUCUGAUCCUGACCCCUCCUGGGGGCCUCAAUGGAUUCUGACCCAUGGAUUUGUUCCUGAGGGAAGAAUGCAUGUUGCAUUUUGCCAAGUUGCUCUCAGCUUUUUCCUGCCUGUAUGCCAUCUUUCUGCAAACUACCAGCGCUGGCCGCCUCGCACAGCGAUAAUCAGCCUGUCAGUCAAUAAACUGAAGAUGUUGGUGGUGUGCUGGGGUUGGUGGCCAGCAGUGAGAGCCCUGAGAGUUAUAAAUUCAAGAUGAGAAUUGAGAUGUUGCCAAGGCUUCACAGAGUCCCUGAUUUACUAGGAAAUUGUUCCCUAGCCUUGACUGCUGGCCCUGUUAUGCAAGGGACUUUGUGUGGGCUGGGGGGAUGGUUGAAGGAAAGACAAAAAAUAAAAGACCAGAAGCCAGUGUUUAGGCACAGUGGAUAGGACAUUCCCUACCCCACUGCAUUUGGUCACCUAUGGUCUGCUAUUUAACCUGUCUUAACCAUGUUCUGAUUUGCAUGUGCUUGCUUACUUUCUCCAACUAUUUUACAGACCCCUUGAAGGCAGACACUGGCUCAUAUUUCUGGUGUCUUCCUCCCCCACCCCAUUCUAGGCCUCUAGCACCACGCUGGGCUCAUGGGAAAGCCGAUUGAUUAACUGGCUGAAUGUGGAGGAGGAGGGGUUAAUUAAUCCUAGAAAGAAGGCCUCCCAGAGAAGUCCUCCAUGCCUGCUCCCUGAGGACCAUGAACCUCCCCUAGUCACCCUCUGCCAGCCCAGGCCCUCCUGAGCCUGGUUCUGACACUGUGGGCUCUAGACUGGGCCUUCCUCCUUCAGCCUCUGGGGACAGGUUGCUGGCCUGCAGUUCUGAAUAUUUCAGUUGGCUCCAUGCGUAGGGCCUGCUCCAAGGCCAAUCUGAAUGAAUUUGGCCACCUCCCUGUUUUACAAGUCCCGUUCCUAAACUGGAGCCUACAAACAUCUCCCUGCCUUCCUGCACAACGUGUGGCUCUGUUCCCUCAGAGAGAAAACAGUCUGAACCGUCCUGAGCCCAUUUCCUUUCCAGGUUUUGCUAGUCUCUUCUCUCGUUGAGGAAGGAUGUGCUGGGCCCCAGCCCUGGGUGUGCAUGGGGCAGCAACCUGGGCAGCAGUUAGAGAACAGCAAAGGAGGGUCUCCACUCUCCUGAAGCUCCCAGCCCACUGCGGGGACCAGAACAUAAGGAUCAUUGCGAAACCCGUCGAGGCCAUGUUUGCUUGAUAAGCACCACAUGUGUGGAGAGAGAGCUCAUCCCAGCCCAGCUUUGGCUCUCCUGGGUGGGCUGGGGUCUGGGGGGAACCCACAGAAAAAAUGGGAAGAGAAUGCUUCCAAGAGCAUGGAGAGCCAGCUCAGCUACUCACCAGCUGUGUGACUUUGGGCAAAUUACCUAACAUCUCAGGAGUUAGGUUCUUUAUCCACACACCAAGAUUCCCUGAUAUUCUAGGAUUCUGAUGGGGCAUGGCACAGAGCUGCAGCCUUGUUGCUACAAGGCUUUGAGAACUCACUGAGCUUGAGGCAGAGGUCCAGACCAGCAGGGAGGGGCCUGGGGCCUGUGAUCCUAAGCACAGCUUCUCAUGACUGCUAGGUGAGAGGGGUCACACCUGAGAGACUAUGGGGCCAGAACCGAAUCCUUGAGUCUGGAGAUCAGGUGCCUCAGGCCUGGGCUUCAACGCACCCCUGUCCCUGCUUCCCUGGGUCCAUGGCUGCAGUGAGCAAGAAAAAAAGAACCCUAGAUGGGGGGCGGGGCAGAAGCCACAUCAGCACCAACCAGGGCAAACAAAGAUGAACUGUCUUCUAGGCUUGAGGUUGUUCAUUUGCAAACAACAGUAUUUGAGUUGCCACUGUUCCCCGCCUGCCAGGCCAACAGAGGCUGUCUGUGCG